Molecule: ribosomal RNA, 301 nt
Filed under: uncultured bacterium
Lineage: Bacteria
Description: partial 16S ribosomal RNA
Rfam family: Bacterial small subunit ribosomal RNA
Source: RNAcentral
CAGUAGCCGCGGUAAUACGGAGGGUGCAAGCGUUAAUCGGAAUUACUGGGCGUAAAGCGCACGCAGGCGGUUUGUUAAGUCAGAUGUGAAAUCCCCGAGCUUAACUUGGGACCUGCAUUUGUGACUGUAUAGCUAGAGUACGGUAGAGGGGGAUGGAAUUCCGCGUGUAGCAGUGAAAUGCGUAGAUAUGCGGAGGAACACCGAUGGCGAAGGCAAUCCCCUGGACCUGUACUGACGCUCAUGCACGAAAGCGUGGGGAGCAAACAGGAUUAGAUACCCCAGUAGUCCCUGUCUCUUAUAC